Molecule: long non-coding RNA, 377 nt
Organism: Melitaea cinxia (Glanville fritillary)
Lineage: Eukaryota; Metazoa; Arthropoda; Insecta; Lepidoptera; Nymphalidae
Exons: 2
Source: RefSeq, a predicted model, not a curated record
AGCCGUCCGGAAGGCCGGCAACAAAGGCGACCGUUAAGGCCAAAUUCAAGGCCCCGUGAUAUGUUCAACAGCGUGAUAGCUCUCGGAUCGACCGUUCAGAAAGGCGCACGAGCGAUGUUGUAAAACAGGCCCGAAUCGCGAAAAGAGAAGACAGAGCAGCUCUGCGUGACUUCCAAGAAGAAGAGGAAGGCCUAUUGUAUGGUCCAGGCAUAGCAGAUUGACGAUAAGCAGAACAGCCGCAAUCUUGGUCACCGUCAAGCACCUCUUUUAGUUGAUGUCUUCCUGUCGGCCACUAUAACUGCUAUUCUAUUAUAUAUUUUGACUUCAAAAAAUUUGUAAAGCUUAUUUAAAUGUUAAUAAAGAUUAUGCAAAAAUAA